UACAGAGGUCCCAAGCGUUGUUCGGAUUCACUGGGCGUAAAGGGUGCGUAGGCGGUCGGGUAAGUCUGAUGUGAAAUCUCACAGCUUAACUGUGAAACUGCAUUGGAUACUAUCCGGCUAGAGGAAUGGAGGGGAGACUGGAAUACUUGGUGUAGCAGUGAAAUGCGUAGAUAUCAAGUGGAACACCAGUGGCGAAGGCGAGUCUCUGGACAUUUCCUGACGCUGAGGCACGAAAGCCAGGGGAGCGAACGGG
This 253-nucleotide ribosomal RNA is filed under the name uncultured bacterium. RNAcentral's name for it is "partial 16S ribosomal RNA". It matches the Rfam family "Bacterial small subunit ribosomal RNA", at positions 524 to 776 of the family's 1533-position model. The record is from RNAcentral.